This 66-nucleotide transfer RNA is filed under the name Puccinia triticina 1-1 BBBD Race 1. It matches the Rfam family "tRNA". Rfam says of the family: Transfer RNA (tRNA) molecules are approximately 80 nucleotides in length. Their secondary structure includes four short double-helical elements and three loops (D, anti-codon, and T loops). Lineage: Eukaryota; Fungi; Basidiomycota; Pucciniomycetes; Pucciniales; Pucciniaceae. The record is from Rfam by way of RNAcentral.
GUCUCGAAAUCUGUAAGGGCAAGACUGUAAAUCUUGAGGUCGCUGGUUCGAUCCCGGCUCGGGGGA